CACACGCACACGCACGCACACACACGCACGCACACACACCACACACACACACACACACACGCACACGCACGCACAUAGCUCUCUUGGCGCUUUGCUUUCACGCUGCUUCUCGGCAGUCGGCGCCUCCUACCUCUUCUGUGGAAGCACCCGCCCAUCGUUAUCUCACACUUAAACAGAAACAGAUAGACGUGUGGAAACCGUGUGUGUGCGCAAAGGGAGCGAGGGGGGGGGGGCAUUGCACAUCCUCCUGCGUUUGUUUACAAUAUCGCAGCACUGGUUCUGGGGCUGGUGCAGCCAGCGUGCUCUUUCUCCCCCAAAGAGCAUGAAAGCCGCUCACAAGCGCUCUUGAUGAAGCAAGAAGGGCUUCAUCUAUAAUGCAUAAGUGGCGCUGCAGAAAAGACCAGCAAAAAUUUCCAGGGAAACCACCUUCUCUGUGUGCUCACAUAUAAACACUCUGCAGUGCCAAAAACGGAACAUCUGGGAAUACCAUUACCUUGCAUGGGGAGGACACUGAGGAGACGGAGUUGGACUCCCAUCGUCUAACUACUCCCAACCAUUCAGUCCUGGCAAAGUGCUCAACAGUGAUGUCAGUGCAUUCCUCCGGCUUCAGAGACAUUCCCCAGGCAGCACCAGUGGGCUUAAAAGGACUUCUCCCACCAAUAAAGCCAGAAUCCUCCCUAAAAGAGUUUCUGUAAACAACAAAAACUCGCAAAACACAAAGAACAUGAAUGCGUAUUACAAAUGACCUCGUCCUCCUACCACACUGCUGGCCGGAUGAAGGCGACAAGAGUCCAGAGGCUGCCGGGAUAUCUGGCUAAAACUUUGAAACAUUGCUGCAAAGCAAACGCCAGAUCAAGUUGUAUUGUUAUUUUCUUUAAGUGGGGUUAAACUGGAGUGUUUUGGCUGUGAC
This is a long non-coding RNA of Gasterosteus aculeatus aculeatus (three-spined stickleback), 910 nucleotides long. NCBI's taxonomy places the organism in Eukaryota, Metazoa, Chordata, Actinopteri, Perciformes, Gasterosteidae. The record is from Ensembl.